Molecule: long non-coding RNA, 513 nt
Organism: Ailuropoda melanoleuca (giant panda)
Lineage: Eukaryota; Metazoa; Chordata; Mammalia; Carnivora; Ursidae
Exons: 3
Source: RefSeq, a predicted model, not a curated record
CCCGCCCGCUUACUGGAUCCCCCGCUCCAGAUUCCUAAGGGGAAUUCCAGGAUUCCAGAAGCUGCCCUGGUCAUUUUUAAACGCUGACCCGCCUCCCUCCGGUGGAGAGGGCGCCACCGCUGGGCGGGGUGCUUCCCCGCCCGACCUGCUCGGCCCCACCCUCUCGGCGCCUUACAUACAGAUGGAAACCACUGGGGUCUCCUUGGGGAGCAGCGUUACCCAGUACCCCAAGUAUCCUCUUGUUCCUUGCGAAGGGUCACAUCCUGCCGUGAGCUCUGAAAGCCAGGAAGUGCCAUGAAUGGAAGCCGCUUUCAAAGUAAGUCACACUGAGAGUGAAUGAGGACCUCCGGGCCGACACGUCCCCGACACUGGCUUGUGUGGCCGUGCCAAUGUCCACACUCUUCCAGAUCAUUUGUCCCAUCAACUUGUGCUAUGUGAGUGCAUUCCUUGGGGGAAAGUAAUUACUGCAUCAGAAGCCGGCGAAAUUAUCCUUGGGGUGUGCUCUGUUCUCCC